RNAcentral lists this unclassified non-coding RNA (520 nucleotides) under uncultured Glomus. RNAcentral describes it as "SSU rRNA". It matches the Rfam family "Eukaryotic small subunit ribosomal RNA", at positions 569 to 1096 of the family's 1831-position model. Lineage: Eukaryota; Fungi; Glomeromycota; Glomeromycetes; Glomerales; Glomeraceae. The record is from RNAcentral.
AGCAGCCGCGGUAAUUCCAGCUCCAAUAGCGUAUAUUAAAGUUGCUGCAGUUAAAAGCUCGUAGUUGAAUUUCGGGACUAAUAUGUCGGUCGUGCCUCGGUACGUACUGGUUUAUUGGUUUCUCCUUUCUGAAGAACCAUGAUGUCAUUUAUUUGGUGUCGUGGGGAAUCAGGACUGUUACUUUGAAAAAUUAGAGUGUUUAAAGCAGGCUCACGCUUGAAUACAUUAGCAUGGAAUAAUGAAAUAGGACGUUUGAUUCUAUUUUGUUGGUUUCUAGGAUCGACGUAAUGAUUAAUAGGGAUAGUUGGGGGCAUUAGUAUUCAAUUGUCAGAGGUGAAGUUCUUGGAUUUAUUGAAGACUAACUACUGCGAAAGCAUUUGCCAAGGAUGUUUUCAUUAAUCAAGAACGAAAGUUAGGGAUCGAAGACGAUCAGAUACCGUCGUAGUCUUAACCAUAAACUAUGCCGACUAGGGAUCGGAUGAUGUUAAUUUUUAAUGACUCAUUCGGCGCCUUACGGGAA